This 685-nucleotide ribosomal RNA is filed under the name Streptacidiphilus sp. HW_1_13. RNAcentral's name for it is "bacterial SSU rRNA". It matches the Rfam family "Bacterial small subunit ribosomal RNA", at positions 98 to 797 of the family's 1533-position model. Lineage: Bacteria; Bacillati; Actinomycetota; Actinomycetes; Kitasatosporales; Streptomycetaceae. The record is from RNAcentral.
GCGAACGGGUGAGUAACACGUGGGCAAUCUGCCCUGCACUCUGGGACAAGCCUUGGAAACGAGGUCUAAUACCGGAUACGACCCUGGAGCGCAUGCUCCGGGGUGGAAAGCUCCGGCGGUGCAGGAUGAGCCCGCGGCCUAUCAGCUUGUUGGUGGGGUGAUGGCCUACCAAGGCGACGACGGGUAGCCGGCCUGAGAGGGCGACCGGCCACACUGGGACUGAGACACGGCCCAGACUCCUACGGGAGGCAGCAGUGGGGAAUAUUGCACAAUGGGCGCAAGCCUGAUGCAGCGACGCCGCGUGAGGGAUGAAGGCCUUCGGGUUGUAAACCUCUUUCAGCAGGGAAGAAGCGCAAGUGACGGUACCUGCAGAAGAAGCACCGGCUAACUACGUGCCAGCAGCCGCGGUAAUACGUAGGGUGCGAGCGUUGUCCGGAAUUAUUGGGCGUAAAGAGCUCGUAGGCGGCUUGUCGCGUCGGAUGUGAAAGCCCGGGGCUUAACCCCGGGUCUGCAUUCGAUACGGGCAGGCUAGAGUGUGGUAGGGGAGAUCGGAAUUCCUGGUGUAGCGGUGAAAUGCGCAGAUAUCAGGAGGAACACCGGUGGCGAAGGCGGAUCUCUGGGCCAUUACUGACGCUGAGGAGCGAAAGCGUGGGGAGCGAACAGGAUUAGAUACCCUGGUAGUCCA